Molecule: transfer RNA, 66 nt
Filed under: Scincella vandenburghi (Tsushima smooth skink)
Lineage: Eukaryota; Metazoa; Chordata; Lepidosauria; Squamata; Scincidae
Description: tRNA-Tyr
Source: RNAcentral
GGUAAGGUGGCCGAGUAGGUAACAGGUUGUAGCCCUGUGCACGGGGGUGCAGUCCCUCCUUUACCA